Molecule: long non-coding RNA, 237 nt
Filed under: Physcomitrium patens
Lineage: Eukaryota; Viridiplantae; Streptophyta; Bryopsida; Funariales; Funariaceae
Description: long non-coding RNA (PPAT_LNC010632)
Source: RNAcentral
UACUUCUAAGUUUGAGUUCAAAAACAACCUAUUCUAUUUCAAAGGUCAAUUAUAUGUUCUAAAAGAAAAAACAUGAUUAUGUAUUCUUCAAGCAUGUCAUGACUUUCUAGUAGCAGAACAUUUUGAAUACAACAAGACUUUGGAACUUAAAUCUAAAGAUUUUUGGUGGCCUCAAAUGUAGAAGGGUGUGAAAGACUUUGUUCAAUCAUGUGAUAUUUUUUCAAGAUCAAAAACUCU